RNAcentral lists this ribosomal RNA (460 nucleotides) under uncultured bacterium. RNAcentral describes it as "partial 16S ribosomal RNA". It matches the Rfam family "Bacterial small subunit ribosomal RNA", at positions 338 to 795 of the family's 1533-position model. The record is from RNAcentral.
CCUACGGGGGGCAGCAGUGAGGAAUAUUGGUCAAUGGACGAGAGUCUGAACCAGCCAAGUAGCGUGAAGGAUGACUGCCCUAUGGGUUGUAAACUUCUUUUAUAUGGGAAUAAAACGUUCCACGUGUGGGAUUUUGUAUGUACCAUAUGAAUAAGGAUCGGCUAACUCCGUGCCAGCAGCCGCGGUAAUACGGAGGAUCCGAGCGUUAUCCGGAUUUAUUGGGUUUAAAGGGAGCGUAGGUGGAUUGUUAAGUCAGUUGUGAAAGUUUGCGGCUCAACCGUAAAAUUGCAGUUGAAACUGGCAGUCUUGAGUACAGUAGAGGUGGGCGGAAUUCGUGGUGUAGCGGUGAAAUGCUUAGAUAUCACGAAGAACUCCGAUUGCGAAAGCAGUUCACUGGACUGCAACUGACACUGAGGCUCGAAAGUGUGGGUAUCAAACAGGAUUAGAUACCCCAGUAGUC